This 407-nucleotide ribosomal RNA is filed under the name bacterium enrichment culture clone ALO1_GLFRUDD03FYO6P. RNAcentral describes it as "bacterial SSU rRNA". It matches the Rfam family "Bacterial small subunit ribosomal RNA", at positions 9 to 416 of the family's 1533-position model. The record is from RNAcentral.
GAGUUUGAUCCUGGCUCCAGAUUGAACGCUGGCGGCAUGCCUUACACAUGCAAGUCGAACGGCAGCACGGGGCUUGCUCCUGGUGGCGAGUGGCGAACGGGUGAGUAAUGCAUCGGAACGUAUCCUGGAGUGGGGGAUAACGUAGCGAAAGUUACGCUAAUACCGCAUAUUCUGUGAGCAGGAAAGCGGGGGACCUUCGGGCCUCGCGCUCUUGGAGCGGCCGAUGUCGGAUUAGCUAGUUGGUGAGGUAAAGGCUCACCAAGGCGACGAUCCGUAGCAGGUCUGAGAGGAUGAUCUGCCACACUGGAACUGAGACACGGUCCAGACUCCUACGGGAGGCAGCAGUGGGGAAUUUUGGACAAUGGGGGCAACCCUGAUCCAGCCAUGCCGCGUGAGUGAAGAAGGCC